GCCUUACAGUAAAAUCUGCAUUAAAAAAAAAAUUAAAAAAACCCUAACAACAAAACCCCCCUACAAACUCGUUAAAACUUAAAUAUCGGAUAAUCUCAAACCAGCUUACUGCCUGUGCACCUCCACCAGCCUUCACACGAGUGGCUCAAAAAUCUCCUGACAUCGGUCUCAUGCUUCUUGAGCUGGUAUGAUCGCAUCUGAAGUUCAGACGGCGGAGGAAGGAGAAGGCUAGGCUGGCAUCGUUUUGUGUUUAGGUUAACAAAAAUCAACACUUCUAUUGUCAUUCUUCAUGGAAAGUCUCCAUUUAACGAGUCUGGGGUUUAAGGAGCUUCAUAGAUCAAAGGAAAGCUAAGAAACUGGAAAACGGAGAGGUGAAUGCCAUGUACCUCCCCAGACCUGGAGGGAAACAGAGCUGCGGCCAAAAGGAGUGGGUGUAAAUGCGACAACAAAAAUAAAUACUUUAUAUCACCCUGCAGAACUU
Molecule: long non-coding RNA, 481 nt
Organism: Zonotrichia albicollis (white-throated sparrow)
Lineage: Eukaryota; Metazoa; Chordata; Aves; Passeriformes; Passerellidae
Source: RefSeq, a predicted model, not a curated record